This 808-nucleotide ribosomal RNA is filed under the name uncultured bacterium. RNAcentral describes it as "bacterial SSU rRNA". It matches the Rfam family "Bacterial small subunit ribosomal RNA", at positions 8 to 796 of the family's 1533-position model. The record is from RNAcentral.
AGAGUUUGAUCCUGGCUCAGAAUGAACGCUGGCGGCGUGCUUAACACAUGCAAGUCGUGCGCGAAGGUGGCUUCGGCUGCCGGAGAGCGGCGAACGGGUGAGUAACACGUGGGUAAUCUGCCUGGGAGCGGGGGAUAACCUGGGGAAACUCGGGCUAAUACCGCAUACGAUGGCUGGGACAUGUCCUGGUCAGGAAAGUUGGCCUCUGCUUGCAAGCUAGCGUUCCCAGAGGAGCCCGCGGCUGAUUAGCUAGUUGGUGGGGUAAUGGCCCACCAAGGCGACGAUCAGUAGCCGGCCUGAGAGGGUGAUCGGCCACACUGGGACUGAGACACGGCCCAGACUCCUACGGGAGGCAGCAGUGGGGAAUAUUGGACAAUGGGCGCAAGCCUGAUCCAGCAACGCCGCGUGGAGGAUGAAGGUCUUCGGAUCGUAAACUCCUGUCAGAUGGGACGAAGGUGACGAGGUGAACAAUCUCGUUAUUUGACGGUACCGUCAGAGGAAGCCCCGGCUAACUCCGUGCCAGCAGCCGCGGUAAUACGGAGGGGGCGAGCGUUAUUCGGAAUUAUUGGGCGUAAAGGGCGCGUAGGCGGCUCGAUAAGUCAAAGGUGAAAUCCCUCGGCUCAACUGAGGAACUGCCUUUGAAACCGUCGAGCUCGAGUCCGGGAGGGGGUAGCGGAAUUCCCAGUGUAGCGGUGAAAUGCGUAGAUAUUGGGAGGAACACCAGUGGCGAAGGCGGCUACCUGGACCGGUUCUGACGCUGAUGCGCGAAAGCGUGGGUAGCAAACAGGAUUAGAUACCCUGGUAGUCC